Molecule: ribosomal RNA, 475 nt
Filed under: Streptomyces globisporus
Lineage: Bacteria; Bacillati; Actinomycetota; Actinomycetes; Kitasatosporales; Streptomycetaceae
Description: bacterial SSU rRNA
Rfam family: Bacterial small subunit ribosomal RNA
Source: RNAcentral
GGCGCGCCCCGGGCGGGGCGGGGGCACGGGGGGAACGCGAAGAACCUUACCAAGGCUUGACAUAUACCGGAAAGCAUCAGAGAUGGUGCCCCCCUUGUGGUCGGUAUACAGGUGGUGCAUGGCUGUCGUCAGCUCGUGUCGUGAGAUGUUGGGUUAAGUCCCGCAACGAGCGCAACCCUUGUUCUGUGUUGCCAGCAUGCCUUUCGGGGUGAUGGGGACUCACAGGAGACUGCCGGGGUCAACUCGGAGGAAGGUGGGGACGACGUCAAGUCAUCAUGCCCCUUAUGUCUUGGGCUGCACACGUGCUACAAUGGCCGGUACAAUGAGCUGCGAUGCCGCGAGGCGGAGCGAAUCUCAAAAAGCCGGUCUCAGUUCGGAUUGGGGUCUGCAACUCGACCCCAUGAAGUCGGAGUUGCUAGUAAUCGCAGAUCAGCAUUGCUGCGGUGAAUACGUUCCCGGGUCUUGUACACACCGA